AACCAGAGAAGGAUGCAGAGACAAAACCUAAAUCACACAGUCUCCUUCCCCAUUUUACAGAGGAAACAAACUGAGGGGGCGGGGGCAGAAGUUCACAGUAAGUUAGUGGAAGAGCCAGGGCUAGGAGGCAGAUCUCAGAUACACCCCACCCCUCCCCUGGACAACCAUUUGCCGGAAAUGGCUGGCUAAUGAGGGCAUCCCCAGCCUCAUGUUAACUGAGAAGAAAGGUCUGAGGCCAGGCAGCUCCUGCAGAUUAGCAGGCUGGGAGUCAGUAAGGCUGGAAGUCAACCUAUUUGUGGCCAUUUUACUGAUAAAUUGGAGUCUCUACUUGGGUCUCAAAGAGAACUAAAGACAAAAGCCUGUGGUUUCAGGAUGACACUCUGGUAACCUAAAAGGCUAAAUCGCAAAGGGGUCUUAAGGGCUGGGAUGAAAAGUAGAACUUUUAAGCUCUUCCUUUGACCUUGGCCAAGGUUGUUCCCUCUAGCCUCACUUGUCCUGUUCAUUCAAUGGGAGAAUCUCACUUAAGGCCCAGGGAACAAAAGAAAGGAACAGGUAGAAGGGCACCCCUCAGCCUGGUGACCCUAGGCGGAGCUGAGCUUUAGACAGGCGGGGCCUUAGGAAGGGAGCGCAGAAAGUUGCCAGGUGGCUUGGCUGGCUGCGUUAAGCUAAAGAUGGGUUGCAACAGGGCGGGGUGGGGCGGCGGACCGAGGACCUAGAUUCGCUUUUCCGGGCUCUGCGUCCGCUAGGAGAAUCGGUCGCCUGCAGCCAAGGGCCUGCACGCCUCCUCCUUUUCUCAGACUUCUCUGGCCUCGACCCCCCUUCUCACACUCCCAACGCCCAAGGACAACUUGCCACUCGCUUCAGACGACCGGGGCUUUUCUGUUUCCCAGACUCUGCUUUCUCCCCUACUUCUUUUGUCUACUUCUACAUUUGGCGGUUUCUCGAGGAAGCGUUCCUCCAUCUGCUUCUGCUUCUCUCUCGUCUGCUCUCUCUCACUCGCUCCCCUCCGCCCCCCCCAAACACCCACUCUUUCUCCCUCUCUCUGUCUCUCUUCUAUCUGCCGGCCAUCUCGGCGCCUUUUCUCCGGCUCUGGCCUUGCAAAAUCGCGCAAGGCCCUCUCUGGGAACCGCGGCGCGGUGAUCCGAUGGCGUCCCAGGGCGGGGGCAGGUGAGAUAGGCGGAGCCCUGCCCGGGCGGACGCGGAGGAAGGUGGCGUCCGCGCGAAUCGGCCGCCCGGGCCCUGUCCUCCCCAUCCACCCCCGGCUCGCCGGCGCCAGGGGCACAGAGGACGCAUGAGUCCCUUUGCGCCCCUGGAGCUGUCGGCACCGCCGCCGCCCCAGACAGAGACCUUGGGCCAGGAGGCCUCACAGGGGCGGGGCGGGGGGCGGCGACCCGGAGCCGCCUAGCUCCUGGCCCUCGGCGCCGUCCCCUCGGUCUCCAGGCUCCGUCGCGCCCAAAGCCCCAGGUCCCUGCAGGCGAUGCAGACGCGCGAAGGACAGCGCGGAUCGGAGAGAGGGCGCCAAAGGCGACGCGCCGGCCGGCAACUCCAGUGCCAAGCCCAGUGAGUCUGCAAGAACCGGUCCCUUCACCGGGCGCGGGACGUAGAGCUGUGCGAGGAUCUCGUUCAGCGCGGACUCAACGCCAGGGCGCCGCCUAGAGGUCGGCUGCAGCCUCAGCCUCACCCGCCUGCAACCAGAGCCGCUUCCCCAGCGGAGGCCAGAAAAUGGGCGGGGGAUUUCCAGCCUGGGUCUCAGGCGCCGUUUGUGGCACCUCUGACUUAUCUGAGACUCCCUCCACACCCCUCAAUAAUGAACCCUAGGAAGUAAGACGAGCCAGGAAGGCAGAAACAUUUAUUCUCGAGACUCACUAAACGAAGGGGGUGUCAUUGUUACCCUCUUUGAGGAUCCUGUGUUCCGCAUGUUGUCUAUUCUGCCUCCUCUCACCACCCAAGUUGUCCAGCCCCCACCAACUAUGCUAGAAUUCUGCUUUAACUUCAAGGAGGGAAGGGAAUAGGGAAAAGUUUUCCUAAAUCUUACAGUAUGGUCAUCUGCAUUUUCAAUUUUCUGAAUAAUUUGGUGAUCAACAUACUUUGGGAAUGUAUUCAGAAAACGCUUGAGGGUGAAAAGAAACAUUGCCUAAAUGGCUUCUAUUCACUAAGUGACCGUCAGCUCAAACAGGGUAUGAGUGACAUUCAGGAGGGUGCUUGUUGACACCAGCGCCCCUGUUGGUGGUUGUCUGUGCUAAGUAUUUGGAAAUUAACUCUUCUGGGGCCAGGUGACCUCAGAAUAAGAAGGCUGGUUGGCAUCUUUAGGAAUGUGUUUGAUGUGUCAUUCAACCCCAUGAAGAUAGUUUAAUUUUUAAAACUGGGCUUCAUGGCCUGGGUUCUGGGGAUAGGGUAGGUGGAAGAAAAACUUGUGUGUGCACGGUACAUCAUUAUAAGCCUGUGCUUCCGGGUGAUCCAGGGUCUAGGACUUUAAAACGGAUUCAGUCCCCUUUCCUCAGCCCAGGAAGCAAUGGAGAACCAGAUCAGCAAUGAGCAGGGAGCCAGCACACUGACCUGCCCCCAUGGCAGGCCCCUAGAGUGGGGUAGGGGGCAGUAAUAGCAGUCUUGAAUGGUGUGGAAACUGCUGGCCCCCCCAGUCCUGCCCACCGCCCAUUGCUAACAGCUCUCAGAAGCAAAUCUUGAUAGAAGGGGUGACUGCCAGUGGCUGCCAUCACAGUAUUUUUAAUAAAAAUAUAGCACAACAAAGAGCAAAGUGAGGGAGUUAGGGCACAUAAUGAGAAGGGGAGCCAGAGCUACCCCCACCCCCCACCAUGCAGAGCUUGGAAUGAAAUUGGGAUGAAAACAAGCUACUUCCCGUCCUCUAGCUGUGAACGAAAUCCCUCCUCAUUCUUGGUAAAAAGAAGGGACAGAGGGCACUGCCCCCACUCUCCACUGGCUGGGGGCAGAGUGGUUCUGCUUGCAGCAGAGUUAGUCUUACAGAAAAUUUGGAAACUGUAGACUAGCUAAGUAUUUUCCCUGCACAUUCCAAUUUUUAUCAAUUUUUUAAAAUCCCCAGCAGUGUUUAGGUGCCCUUUCUUGGGGGUGGGGGAGGAGGCAUGGAGUUGGCAUGGCAUAGCACCGCACCUGUGUGUGUUUGUGAAAGGAGGGUGCUCUCAGUGCACCAAUCCCCCACCUGGGUCUGCAGCUGGGCCUCAGUCCUGUCCCAGGCCCUGCCUGAACCUGAGCACAUCUUAGCCCUCCAGGGCCUCUGUGACCUGAAUUCUUGUGUGUGUGUGUGUGUGUGUGUGUAACUGAGCAUGAUUGAAUUCCUUUGCUCUCCCCCCAGAAGUGCACCCAACCAGGCCCCUCCAGCAGACAGUGAGCAGGAAUUUAAUAACUUCACUCCCAGCUAUCUGGAGCCCAAAACCAAAAGAGAUUUUUCUUAGUUUUGGUUCACAAUGGCCUAAUAACAAUUCCAAACCUGGAUUCCAGAGUUUUGUGAAAUCCAGUGGUCCAGAACAGAAAAAAAAAUAUAUGGAGAUGGUAGUGGA
This is a long non-coding RNA of Manis pentadactyla (Chinese pangolin), 3533 nucleotides long. RefSeq lists it as uncharacterized. The record is from RefSeq and is a predicted model, not a curated record. The transcript is spliced from 2 exons. Lineage: Eukaryota; Metazoa; Chordata; Mammalia; Pholidota; Manidae.